This 421-nucleotide ribosomal RNA is filed under the name uncultured soil bacterium. RNAcentral's name for it is "bacterial SSU rRNA". It matches the Rfam family "Bacterial small subunit ribosomal RNA", at positions 26 to 441 of the family's 1533-position model. The record is from RNAcentral.
AGAUUGAACGCUGGCGGCAGGCCUAACACAUGCAAGUCGAGCGGUAGAGAGGUGCUUGCAUCUCUUGAGAGCGGCGGACGGGUGAGUAAUGCCUAGGAAUCUGCCUAGUGGUGGGGGAUAACGUUCGGAAACGGACGCUAAUACCGCAUACGUCCUACGGGAGAAAGCGGGGGACCUUCGGGCCUCGCGCCAUUAGAUGAGCCUAGGUCGGAUUAGCUAGUUGGUGAGGUAAUGGCUCACCAAGGCGACGAUCCGUAACUGGUCUGAGAGGAUGAUCAGUCACACUGGAACUGAGACACGGUCCAGACUCCUACGGGAGCAGCAGUGGGAAUAUUGGACAAUGGGACGAAAGCCUGACUCCGAGCCAUGCCGCGUGUGUAGAAGAAGGUCGUUCGGAUUAGUAAAGCUAACGUUUAAGGUU